AUUAAGUUAGUUUAUACUUAAAACACUAGAUUGUGGUUCUAGAAAUAAAAAUCAUUUUACUUAAUC
This 66-nucleotide transfer RNA is filed under the name Marisa cornuarietis. RNAcentral describes it as "tRNA-His". It matches the Rfam family "tRNA". From Rfam's summary of the family: Transfer RNA (tRNA) molecules are approximately 80 nucleotides in length. Their secondary structure includes four short double-helical elements and three loops (D, anti-codon, and T loops). The record is from RNAcentral. Lineage: Eukaryota; Metazoa; Mollusca; Gastropoda; Architaenioglossa; Ampullariidae.